Molecule: ribosomal RNA, 253 nt
Filed under: uncultured bacterium
Lineage: Bacteria
Description: partial 16S ribosomal RNA
Rfam family: Bacterial small subunit ribosomal RNA
Source: RNAcentral
UACGUAGGGUGCGAGCGUUAAUCGGAAUUACUGGGCGUAAAGCGUGCGCAGGCGGUUCGUUGUGUCGGCGGUGAAAGCCCCGGGCUUAACCUGGGAAUGGCCGUCGAAACUGGCGAACUGGAGUGUGGCAGAGGGGGGUGGAAUUCCGGGUGUAGCGGUGGAAUGCGUAGAGAUCCGGAAGAACACCAGUGGCGAAGGCGGCCCGCUGGGCAGUGGCUGACGCUGAGGCGCGACAGCGUGGGGAGCAAACAGG